UCCUAAUUUUGGGUGGCUACACCCGUUCAGAUAUAUAUCAUUAAAAGAGAAAUCGCCAUAUAUUUUCUCCGCUCUGCGCCGUUCGCGCAAACAGUUGGUUGCUGAAGAACUCAGUGCGUCGUUCCCUUGUCUCAUUUUUUCUGUUCUUCUAUAAGAUGUGGUGCCUGAAGAUUCAUAUCUGAGCCUGACUGAAUGUCUGAACCACUAAGGGCUACAGUAUUCGAUGCUAGCAUGCUAUGGAAUGGACAAGCGUUUGCACUCCUAUGAAGUUGUUAGAUGGUACUGUAUACUAUGCUAUGUAAAUUGUGACUUACCAUAUAUCCUUGGGUGAAGCGAUCAAGAAAUUUUCUUUACAGGCUUCCAUGUGUUCUGACAUUCUAGACUUGUUUCAGGAGAAACAGACAAGUAUUUUCCCCUAGCUAUUUAUAGCCCGAAUUCAUCUAUUUGGCUAUUGAGAUUCACAUCUAAUCAAUGUCAAGUAUUGUCUCUGUCCCAAAAAGCUUGUCUUAGAUUUGUUGAUACGGAUGUAUUUAACACUAAAACGCUUCUAGAUACAUCCGUAUCUAGACAAAUCUAAGACAAAUUUUUUGGGACGGAGAGGGUAUAUUUUACAUCAUAGUGAUUUGGUGUAUGCAAUAAUCAUAUUAUGUUAGCAAUGGAACAUAGUUCGUCACAAUUUCUUUCCUUCAGGUUCAGAAUUACGAGCAUAACCUCAGUAUCUAGAUGCAGAUGUUCCUCUGAAUUAUCCAGCAGUGCUCCUUGUUCCUUAAGAUGUUAUUACAACAGAUAUACUCGCAUAUUGGUUGUAAUAGCAUCUUAUAUUAUGGGACAGAGGGAGUAAUAUUGAACAUUUGAGCAAGAAGAUGUCAUCGCUGCAUAUGCAGUUUCCAACACUUCUAUAGUUCUAUUGUUCUUAAUCAACAAGGUCAGGAUAUAACAAAUUGCAAUAAGUGAUUAUUUCAGAAGCUCGGAAUAUAAAGGAUCUUAUUUGUAUUGCAUACAGUGGGACCGAGUAUCUCCUCUGGUAUGGCUAGCUGAGUAUGUGUGCUCAUGGGCCACCUUCCUGUGUUCAAGGCACAGCGUUCUCAGGGUGCCUGCUCAGGUUCUUCUUCAUCUUCAAGAAAUGCCACCAGGAGAGAUAGUCCCUGGCUGGUCUAGCAUUGCAUAAACCUAAUGAAAUUCAAAACAAAGCGAAUCAUUAGUCGGUUGGAGUAAAUUCUUACAGAUGACAUAUUAUGUUUACUCUUUGAGAGCCCAAGUCAUAUUAUUUUACCCUAUAUCAAUGCUGAGCUUAGAACUUCAACUUUGCCUUAUGCUGCUUGAUGUUUGCUAAAUGCUAAUGGGUCACAGCAUGCAUAUUUUCAUCAUUGGUUGCUUCACUUUUUUAACUGUUGAUGAAUUUGUGCAUGACUCUACCCCUUUGUAGUUUUGGUCUUGCCAAUAAAGGAUUUCUUGGGUUUGUUUUCUUUUGAAAUUGAACAAUACACAGCUGCGUUGCAUGCAGCAUGCUUGCUGAAAAUAUAUUCUUGUAACAGUUAAACCCCCUGCUCUAAAAAGUUGUUUGCAUAGUUGAUAUGUCUGAAAAUUUCUAAAUGAUCACUUGAUCAUGGUUUUUAUGUUAAUAGUUUAUCUUGGUAAUAUUAUUUGGAUGUAGUUCAAAAACGUAAAUAGCCCAAUGGUUUGGCGUAACUGCAAAUUGGCCAGCCUUUUCCAGGGCACGGGGUCAAAGGUGGAGCCUCUCUAUUCAACUACUGAGAUGGAAAGGAUUCAUGAACCAUGAUGCGAGAAUCAUCUUACGGCUGAUUCUUAACCUUUCUUUUCCUGCUACCGUAUAUUACAGGUCUGUUGUUUGCUUGUCCUAUCAAGGUAAUUUAAUAAGGUCUAUAUACUUGACCAUUGGCACAAUGCAUCCUUUAUUCACUUGGUCAAAGGUUGAUUUGAAAGAAAAAAAAGCCUAAGGCAGCUGAACAGUGAUCUAUGAGCACACUGCUACUUUCUGUGAUUAAUUUAAUAUUUGAGCUAGUUGCUAGCUCUGAUCGUACAUGCUUUCCAUCUCCCUUACCCACUUUUCUGUCUAGUUUCCCCCAUAAAAUACCAUCCAGUGACUGGGCUGCAAAUAUAUCUGUAAGACGUAUCUAGUUUCUUUGUGAAGGUGAUAUGAUGACAGGGAGUUUGUAUCUACAACUAAAAUUCGAAUUAGUCAAGCAAAUUUACUGAAGCAAAGUUACACCAGCACAUAACUACUCCCUCGGUUCACAAAUAUAAGAUGUUCUAACUUUUUUGUGAAUUAGAUGUAUAUAGACAUGUUUUAGUGUAUUUGUUCACUCAUUCCAGUCCGUAUGUAGUCCAUAUUGAAAUAUCGAAAACAUCCUAUAUUAGUGAAAUAUCGAAAACAUAGGAGCAUGGCAUCGUGUGUUGUUAGUCACAUCAGUACGAGGGAAAUGAUGUCUCUAACACUCAAGCUCUUCUGUGGUUGGGUAGUUAAGAAGAAAAGGCAAAAGCUUCCGUUGUCUAAUCUCAUGUGACAUGUGCAGGCAUUCCAAAAUAAUCCAGUAUCAUGGUAUUUCCAGUAUGAGGUUUGCAUUGCUGCCUGAGACUGAGUUCUCAAAGGGUGAAGGCUGCCUAGGACAAGAAUGCACAUGCUUCUUCUUGUUGUUCCAUGUGAACUCUGCACUUGUUCUGAAGAAAGGUGAUGUGAUUGCUUUGUGAAUGACCUAAGCCUAAUCUGCAAAAAGGGAGUUGGCAGGAAUCUUCCCUUGGAUGAUUAUCUUUGUCAGCUCAGAAUGUCCCUGCAGGAUGUUAUUUCUCUUGGUGUUAUGUUCUCCUGCCUCAGGAUCUGAGCUUGGGAUGGAAAGCACAAAAUUAAUAGGCUUCACAUGUCCCUGCAGUUAGCACUCCUGAGUUGCUGACUGUACAGAUGAAUCUUUGUACCCUUUGCUUGUCAAAUGUUUUAAAGCCCUGCUUUUUGAAGUAGAUGCAGCACCUAAGAAAGGUGAAGGCGUGAUGACCUUGGACCCCACUCAAACAGGGACCAUUCAUAGCCUACAUGUAAUAGCAUUUUUGGGCUGCACGGCAAUGUCUGAAUGCUUCUGGUACGUUUAGGUAUUCAACCAAGUAGACUGACUGUCAUCACUUGUUUAAGCCAUCUUUGGUUUCAGGACAUCCUAUACCGUUAUCCUUCCAUACCGAGACACUAACCCGUAAGGGGAUGGGGUAGAGCAACAGGUGCCUGGUGGGCAGAGAAUGAGCAAAGGAAAUCAACACCCUGCCUUGUUAGAUAUCUAGGCUGGCAUGCAACGCUGAUGAUAUCCUUUCGAUCGCAGUCGCAGGGGCCUACUCCUUUGGGAUUCUUAAGAUUCAAGUAUCCUUAACUGGUCACCCCAAUUAUUUGAAACCAAGAAAAGGAGAGGAAAAGAGCACACAACACACACCCAGAGAACGAGGUAGGGCAGAAAGGUUAGCAUGCACUUUGUCCGUCGGAAACGAUGUAUCACUAGGCCAAGGACGCCGGGGAAGGAAGUUGUCUAUAAAUAUGCGGUGCGAUGGAUAGGGGUUGGUUUGUGCUGGAACUGGAAGCAAGGUAGCUGGGAGCAUAGUGGAAGAAGAGAGGGCAAGAGAGAGG
Molecule: long non-coding RNA, 3622 nt
Organism: Hordeum vulgare subsp. vulgare (domesticated barley)
Lineage: Eukaryota; Viridiplantae; Streptophyta; Magnoliopsida; Poales; Poaceae
Exons: 8
Source: RefSeq, a predicted model, not a curated record